This 1357-nucleotide ribosomal RNA is filed under the name uncultured bacterium. RNAcentral describes it as "bacterial SSU rRNA". It matches the Rfam family "Bacterial small subunit ribosomal RNA", at positions 18 to 1395 of the family's 1533-position model. The record is from RNAcentral.
CCUGGCUCAGGACGAACGCUGGCGGCGCGCCUAACACAUGCAAGUCGAACGGAGCUGAGAGGAGCUUGCUUUUCUUAGCUUAGUGGCGAACGGGUGAGUAACGCGUGAGUAACCUGCCCUGGAGUGGGGGACAACAGUUGGAAACGACUGCUAAUACCGCAUAAGCCCACGGAUCCGCAUGGAUCUGCGGGAAAAGGAUUUAUUCGCUUCAGGAUGGACUCGCGUCCAAUUAGCUAGUUGGUGAGGUAACGGCCCACCAAGGCGACGAUUGGUAGCCGGACUGAGAGGUUGAACGGCCACAUUGGGACUGAGACACGGCCCAGACUCCUACGGGAGGCAGCAGUGGGGGAUAUUGCACAAUGGGGGAAACCCUGAUGCAGCGACGCCGCGUGGAGGAAGAAGGUUUUCGGAUUGUAAACUCCUGUCGUUAGGGACGAUAAUGACGGUACCUAACAAGAAAGCACCGGCUAACUACGUGCCAGCAGCCGCGGUAAAACGUAGGGUGCAAGCGUUGUCCGGAAUUACUGGGUGUAAAGGGAGCGCAGGCGGACCGGCAAGUUGGAAGGGAAAACUAUGGGCUCAACCCAUAAUUGCUUUCAAAACUGCUGCCCUUGAGUAGUGCAGAGGUAGGUGGAAUUCCCCGUGUAGCGGUGGAAUGCGUAGAUAUCGGGAGGAACACCAGUGGCGAAGGCGACCUAUUGGGCACCACUGACGCUGAGGCUCGAAAGUAUGGGUAGCAAACAGGAUUAGAUACCCUGGUAGUCCAUGCCGUAAACGAUGAUUACUAGGUGUUGGAGGAUUGACCCCUUCAGUGCCGCAGUUAACACAAUAAGUAAUCCACCUGGGGAGUACGACCGCAAGGUUGAAACUCAAAGGAAUUGACGGGGGCCCGCACAAGCAGUGGAGUAUGUGGUUUAAUUCGAAGCAACGCGAAGAACCUUACCAGGUCUUGACAUCCGAUGCAUAGUGCAGAGAUGCAUGAAGUCCUUCGGGACAUCGAGACAGGUGGUGCAUGGUUGUCGUCAGCUCGUGUCGUGAGAUGUUGGGUUAAGUCCCGCAACGAGCGCAACCCUUAUUGCCAGUUACUACGCAAGAGGACUCUGGCGAGACUGCCGUUGACAAAACGGAGGAAGGUGGGGAUGACGUCAAAUCAUCAUGCCCUUUAUGACCUGGGCUACACACGUACUACAAUGGCGUUUAACAAAGAGAAGCAAGACCGCGAGGUGGAGCAAAACUCAAAAACAACGUCUCAGUUCAGAUUGCAGGCUGCAACUCGCCUGCAUGAAGUCGGAAUUGCUAGUAAUCGCGGAUCAGCAUGCCGCGGUGAAUACGUUCCCGGGCCUUGUACACACCGCCC